ACGCACGCUGGCGGCGUGCUUCACCCAUGCCAGUCGCACGGAAAGGCCCUGCUUUUGUGGGGUGCUCGAGUGGCGAACGGGUGAGUAACACGUGAGUAACCUGCCCUUGACUUUGGGAUAACUUCAGGAAACUGGGGCUAAUACCGGAUAGGAGCUCCUGCUGCAUGGUGGGGGUUGGAAAGUUUCGGCGGUUGGAGAUGGACUCGCGGCUUAUCAGCUUGUUGGUGGGGUAGUGGCUUACCAAGGCUUUGACGGGUAGCCGGCCUGAGAGGGUGACCGGCCACAUUGGGACUGAGAUACGGCCCAGACUCCUACGGGAGGCAGCAGUGGGGAAUAUUGCACAAUGGGCGGAAGCCUGAUGCAGCAACGCCGCGUGCGGGAUGACGGCCUUCGGGUUGUAAACCGCUUUCGCCUGUGACGAAGCGUGAGUGACGGUAAUGGGUAAAGAAGCACCGGCUAACUACGUG
Molecule: ribosomal RNA, 467 nt
Filed under: uncultured bacterium
Lineage: Bacteria
Description: partial 16S ribosomal RNA
Rfam family: Bacterial small subunit ribosomal RNA
Source: RNAcentral